GUCUUGCAAGGUAUAAGAUGUUAAUAAACAAUUUUAAUUUUUUAAUUUUUAAUUUAAUUUUUUUUUUAUGUGAAUUUCACGUGAAUAAUCUAUCGUAAAAAUCAUGUGAAAAAUUUAAUUUAACUUCAUGUCACCAAAAUUUGCCUGUGUAAUUUACACAUGUGUUACACAUGCGUUUUACUAUACAUGUGUUACACAUGCAAAUAUCGCAUGUGUCACAUGCGUUAUCCAACACAUGCGUGACACAGGUGUAUUUCUGACACAUGUGAUUCACAUGCGUGUGUUACGCAUGUGAACGCAUGUGUACAACACAUGAUUCCCAUGCGUGGCAAGAAACAUGUGUAUUACGCAUGUAAC
RNAcentral lists this long non-coding RNA (357 nucleotides) under Mytilus galloprovincialis (Mediterranean mussel). The record is from RNAcentral. Lineage: Eukaryota; Metazoa; Mollusca; Bivalvia; Mytilida; Mytilidae.